AGAGUUUGAUCCUGGCUCAGGAUGAACGCUGGCGGCGUGCUUAACACAUGCAAGUCGAGCGAAGCAGUUAAGUUGAUUUCUUCGGAUUGAUUCUUAACUGACUGAGCGGCGGACGGGUGAGUAACGCGUGGGUGACCUGCCCCAUACCGGGGGAUAACAGCUGGAAACGGCUGCUAAUACCGCAUAAGCGCACAGAGCUGCAUGGCUCGGUGUGAAAAACUCCGGUGGUAUGGGAUGGGCCCGCGUCUGAUUAGGCAGUUGGCGGGGUAACGGCCCACCAAACCGACGAUCAGUAGCCGGCCUGAGAGGGCGACCGGCCACAUUGGGACUGAGACACGGCCCAAACUCCUACGGGAGGCAGCAGUGGGGAAUAUUGCACAAUGGGGGAAACCCUGAUGCAGCGACGCCGCGUGAGCGAAGAAGUAUUUCGGUAUGUAAAGCUCUAUCAGCAGGGAAGAUAAUGACGGUACCUGACUAAGAAGCCCCGGCUAACUACGUGCCAGCAGCCGCGGUAAUACGUAGGGGGCAAGCGUUAUCCGGAUUUACUGGGUGUAAAGGGAGCGUAGACGGCAAGGCAAGUCUGAUGUGAAAACCCAGGGCUUAACCCUGGGACUGCAUUGGAAACUGUCUGGCUCGAGUGCCGGAGAGGUAAGCGGAAUUCCUAGUGUAGCGGUGAAAUGCGUAGAUAUUAGGAAGAACACCAGUGGCGAAGGCGGCCUACUGGGCACCAACUGACGCUGAGGCUCGAAAGUGUGGGUAGCAAACAGGAUUAGAUACCCUGGUAGUCCACACUGUAAACGAUGAUUACUAGGUGUUGGAGGAUUGACCCCUUCAGUGCCGCAGUUAACACAAUAAGUAAUCCACCUGGGGAGUACGACCGCAAGGUUGAAACUCAAAGGAAUUGACGGGGGCCCGCACAAGCAGUGGAGUAUGUGGUUUAAUUCGACGCAACGCGAAGAACCUUACCAAGUCUUGACAUCCUGCGACGGUUCUGGAAACAGAACUUUCCUUCGGGACGCAGAGACAGGUGGUGCAUGGUUGUCGUCAGCUCGUGUCGUGAGAUGUUGGGUUAAGUCCCGCAACGAGCGCAACCCUUAUGGUCAGUUACUACGCAAGAGGACUCUGGCCAGACUGCCGUUGACAAAACGGAGGAAGGUGGGGAUGACGUCAAAUCAUCAUGCCCUUUAUGACUUGGGCUACACACGUACUACAAUGGCGUUAAACAAAGAGAAGCAAGACCGCGAGGUGGAGCAAAACUCAGAAACAACGUCCCAGUUCGGACUGCAGGCUGCAACUCGCCUGCACGAAGUCGGAAUUGCUAGUAAUCGCAGAUCAGCAUGCUGCGGUGAAUAAGUUCCCGGGCCUUGCACACACCGCCCGUCA
RNAcentral lists this ribosomal RNA (1383 nucleotides) under uncultured bacterium. RNAcentral describes it as "bacterial SSU rRNA". It matches the Rfam family "Bacterial small subunit ribosomal RNA". The record is from RNAcentral.